AACGAACGCUGGCGGCAUGCCUAACACAUGCAAGUCGAACGCUCGUGGCAACACGGGAGUGGCGAACGGGUGAAUAACGCGUGGGAACCUGCCCCGAAGUUCGGAAUAACCGCGGGAAACUGCGGCUAAUACCGGAUGUGGCCUGAGGGCCAAAGGCGCAAGUCGCUUCGGGAGGGGCCCGCGUCCGAUUAGCUAGUUGGUGAGGUAACGGCUCACCAAGGCGACGAUCGGUAGCUGGUCUGAGAGGAUGAUCAGCCACACUGGAACUGAGACACGGUCCAGACUCCUACGGGAGGCAGCAGUGGGGAAUAUUGGACAAUGGGGGAAACCCUGAUCCAGCAAUGCCGCGUGGGUGAUGAAGGCCUUCGGUUGUAAGUACC
Molecule: ribosomal RNA, 380 nt
Filed under: uncultured bacterium
Lineage: Bacteria
Description: bacterial SSU rRNA
Rfam family: Bacterial small subunit ribosomal RNA
Source: RNAcentral